RNAcentral lists this transfer RNA (141 nucleotides) under Persicirhabdus sediminis. RNAcentral's name for it is "tRNA-OTHER". It matches the Rfam family "tRNA". From Rfam's summary of the family: Transfer RNA (tRNA) molecules are approximately 80 nucleotides in length. Their secondary structure includes four short double-helical elements and three loops (D, anti-codon, and T loops). Lineage: Bacteria; Pseudomonadati; Verrucomicrobiota; Verrucomicrobiia; Verrucomicrobiales; Verrucomicrobiaceae. The record is from RNAcentral.
AUGGCGGUAGCUCAGUUGGUAGAGCCGUGAAACAUUUCUCACUUCCUUGUCACCCACCUUAACAAACCUAAAUACAAAUUUCUGGCGUGAUGAAUGCUGGAGGAAUUACAUUUGGCGCGGGUUCAAAUCCUGCUCGUUAUU